This 1976-nucleotide long non-coding RNA is filed under the name Erythranthe guttata (spotted monkey flower). RNAcentral describes it as "long non-coding RNA (EGUT_LNC000152)". The record is from RNAcentral. Lineage: Eukaryota; Viridiplantae; Streptophyta; Magnoliopsida; Lamiales; Phrymaceae.
AUGGCAGGUCACUGCAUCAAUAAAAAUUUUAUUAGCUGAUGGCGAUGGUUGUUGAAGUGAAGUCUCGACAAUGGUUGAAGAAGCUUUUAGAGCAUGUAACUAGGUAUUUUCUUGUAUAAUUUUUUAGAGAGAGAGAGAGAGAGAGAGAGAGAGAGAGAGAGAGACUCUUAUUGUUGUCUCUACCGAUCGACCUUUGCCAUGAAGGGUGCGCUCGCAUGGCAGGUCACCGCAUCAAUAAAAAUAAAAAUAUUAUUAGCUGAUGGCGAUGGUUGUUGAAGUGAAGUCUCGACAAUGGUUGAAGAAGCUUCUAGAGCAUGUAACUAGGUAUUUUCUUGUAUAAUUUUUUAUAGAGAGAGAGAGACUCGUAUGGUUGUCUCUACCGAUCGACCUUUGCCAUGAAGGGUGCGCUCGCAUGGCAGGUCACCGCAUCAAUAAAAAUAUUUUUAGCUGAUGGCGAUGGUUGUUGAAGUGAAGUCUCGACAAUGGUUGAAGAAGCUUUUAGAGCAUGUAACUAGGUAUUUUCUUGUAUAAUUUUAUCGAGAGAGAGAGAGAGAGAGAGAGAGAGAGAGAGAGAGAGUCUUAUGCUUGUCUCUAGCGAUCGACCUUUGCCAUGAAGGGUGCGCUCGCAUGGCAGGUCACGGCAUCAAUAAAAAUAUUAUUAGCUGAUGGCGAUGGUUGUUGAAGUGAAGUCUCGACAAUGGUUGAAGAAGCUUCUAGAGCAUUUAACUAGGUAUUUUCUUAGAGAGAGAGAGAGAGAGAGAGAGAGAGAGAGAGAGAGAGAGAGAGAGAGAGAGAGAGAGAGAGAGAGAGAGAGAGAGACUCUUAUGGUUGUCUCUACCGAUCGACCUUUGCCAUGAAGGGUGCGCUCGCAUGGCAGGUCCCCGCAUUAAUAAAACAUUAUUUUGUGUCGGUGGGGAGAUGGCACAGGCGAUUGCUCGGCUCUAUCCUCUGAGUGUGUCGUUUCCCUUUUUUUCCUUCUUUUUUUUCCCCACUCUGUCUUGUGUUAUUGGCGGCACUUCAAUUAUAAUUUAUUUAAUUUAUUUCGAUGGAAUCUAUAAAAUAAAAAUUUAGACUGGUUAUUCUUCGUUCGACUACAUUUAUUUAUUGUAAUUUUUUUUUCUAAUGUAGACUCUGGUUAAUUAUAUCAUUGGAGCCGGACCUAUUUAGUGUUAGAUUGAAGCCCGUGCUCGUGGUUUCCGAUCGAGAGCCUGAUGAUGUGGCAGCUUGUGCUUACGUGUGCUGGUGGCGAUUGAAGAUUCUGCUAUGCCAUUAUGCUGGAGAAGAGAUUCUGUUCGGUAGUUGUUUUCAGAGGUAUGUUCUCAAUCCGGAGUGUUAGAUUUUUGAAUUUUCGCAUGUGCAUUGUCCUCGAAGUUGAAGCUUUGACUGCGUAUUUGAAAUUGCAUAUAAGAUGUUCGAUUAUGAGUUCACGAGCUGACUAAUUAUUAAUUAAGUUUUGGUUCAGGUGUGGUACGUGUUCAAUUAAAGUAUUAUUAGCUGAUGGCGAUGGUUGUUGAAGCGAAGUCUCGACAAUGGUUGAAGAAGCUUCUAGAGCAUGUAACUAGGUAUUUUUCUUGUAUAAUUUUAACGAGAAGAGAGAGAGAGAGAGACCGAUAGAGAGAUAGAGAAGUUUGGGGAGAGAGAGAGAGAUAGAGAGAGAGAGAGACUCGUAUGGUUGUCUCUACGAUCGACCUUUGCCAUGAACUCGCAUGGCAGGUCACCGCAUUAAUAAAAUAUUAUUUUUUGUGUCGGAGGGGAGAUGGCACAGGCGAUUUGCUCGGCUCUCUCCUGAGUGUGUCGUUCCCUUUUUUUAUUUUUUUCGCUCCGUCUUAUGUUAAUGGCGGCACUUCAAUUGUAAUUUAUUUCGAUGGAAUCUAUAAAAUAAAAAUUAGACUGGUUACUCUUCCUUCGACUCUGUUGGAGCAGAUGUAUUCAUCUUACAUUUAUUUAUUAGGUUAAAUUACAAAUACCCCCCUGAG